UCUUAUACAGGCUGCCAUUUCUUGCAGUUAGCACGUUGCUAAAUUCUUUUUUAGGUUAUAUUCACUAAGUCCUGCAUUUAGAUAAAACUUUAGGUUUUUAGACUCACAAAGGUAAACCUCCUCUGUGUGGAAGCCAGCUUCCUUUCUCACCUUCCUUAUUAAUAAAUGAUUUAAACAUCCACCUUUCACGCUUUCUAAAUGAAUUCCCAAACAACUGACCAAUUUGCAGCAAAUGCUCAAAGGCAAUUAGUAUUCUAGGGUGCAUCCCUCUGCCACUCUUGCUCAAGUUGUUCAAAUAUUUAGAGUGUCAGACAGAAAAUGAAAAUGAUUCUGUAGUUUGAAAAUCCACCAGGGACACCCAGGCCUUAUUCUCAGCUCUCAUAGAAAGAGGAGCAGCUUUGUCUGAUUAACAACUAUUCUGGAAUAUAAAUCAGACAGGAUGUGAAUUAAAUUUUAGGAGAUCCAGAUCCUAAAUGAUGAAGAAGAUAAGGUGCUUUGCUCAUCUUCAGUGUUUUUUUAACUACAAAAUUCUUCUUUCUCCAUCUUCUUUAAGAUGUAAUUGAACUUAUUCCCAUUUCCAAAUGUUAUUUAUUAAUGAGUUUUUCUAUGGACAUGAUUUUCCUUUUUUCUGUUUUUUAUUUUCUUUUUCAUUUGUCAUUUGUGCUGUGCAGAGUCCAGAGUAAGCCUUAAUGAGCCAUAUGAGUCUCUUCCAACUUGGGAUAUUCUGUAAUUCUGAGGUUGUCUUUCAGGUUGUUUUAAAGAAUGGUGAAAUGAAAGAAAAAAUGUCGAAGUUGCACUUUCUCUUAUGCAAAUUUACUGUAACAUUUGCUGUCUUCUGAGUCUUUCUUAAUGUGUUUUUAUGAGAAAUUGAUAAUCACAGCUUGAAUAUCUGAUUAAUCAGCUGAGGCAAGUGUAGGGUCAGCUGUGGGAGCACAGGUGAGAGUAAUUUAGCUGUGCUCCCAGAAAGGGUCGAGCUUGACGCCAUCUCCUCUAGACCUCAUUUAAGGGCUGACCACCACUAAGGCAGCAUUUCUUAGAGACUGCUCCUCGGUGGAGAUUGUCUCAGAUCACCACCAUCUUUUCAUUAUUGUCACCAUACAGUGUUAUUCAAGUGUGUGUGUGUGACCAUUUCUUGACCACAAUUUUGCUACUACCUUACAGGAUAACACAAGCCUUUCUGAAAGCAUAUGCAUUCUUUGCCAACUAAUAGCAAUCACCAAAGAAUUUGCAUAUAAGUGAGGUUGUUUUUAAUAUUUGAGUUAAUGUCCUAUUCAAUUAUUACUAUUUAAGGCCUUUGAGUCUGAAACUAUUCAUGUUUCCUCUGUGUUCUCCAGUCAAUUCCUCCGUAAUCUCCAUAGCAGUGAGCUGUCAGGGCCAUACAACCUGUUACUUUAUGAAAGUUUUCAUAUACUAAUGUAGGAAAAGAGAUGGAGACAAUAAUCAUUAGUUAUGUUUAAAAUGAUUUUGUGGUGAUGUUGUUUUAUUUUGUUGUUGUUGUUUUUUUACAAGCAAAACUGACAGUGUUUGAGGGAAGAAGUGAGAGGCUUGAGAUGGUGUAGCAUGGCUAAAAGCUGCCCUGCUCAGAGAGGAAGUGUCUCAUCAUCCCAGGAAGAAACAUCCUCAAUGGAUUCACAGCCAUCUGGAACCUGGUGAGCACAGUUAGAGUUUUUGCAGAAAAAGGACGGAGUUUGGGCAGCUGUGGUUCAAUGUUUUCUGAUUUUUAGUAUAAAGUGAUUGUUGGAUUUUAAUUAAAACAAAACAACAAAAAAAAAACCUCCACAUAUUCUUUCUGAUAGAAGUAAAGUAAACUUCAAAAAGAAGGAAAAUUUGGCACAGAAAUGAUGAAAAUUUGAUUGCUAACCUAAGUAACAAAUAAUGGGUAUCUAUUUUUUUUGUUUGUUUCCAAGUCUAUGAAUCAGAGCUAGGAGUAUAUUGCAGCCUUUUUUUCUUUUUUUUUUUUAACUUAUGUAGUAUUUUUUAUUUUUCUCUUGAUUAACUAUUUGGUGAUCUUACCACAUUCUCUUGGGGUCUCCACCAUUGUAAAUUGUUCCUACUGCCCAGUUUUCCUGACUUAUAACCAGAUCUCAUUUCUGUCAAGGCUUUUUCUGUGUGCUGCUUCUGAUUAUGCCUAUGAUUUUAUAAUUUGUGCUUAUUUUAUGCAGUUUUGACUUCACAGAUUCCCAUUUAUCCCCAUCUAUUAAUGCUGCAUGGACUAUAUUAAUAUCAAGUUCUGUUGGCUUUUGUUUGUUGUUGUUGUUUUUAAGGAAUGUAAUAUACAAAAUUCCUCAGCAGAUAUAUCAGAAGUUAGAGUGACGAACAAAAUUUGUAGAUGUUGUUAAGUAUACAAAAAUACCUGCAGUCCCUUCAACACACAGCACAGCACAUCUGAGAAUGCCUAGAAGAUGUUACUUGACUGAUUUUAAUGAAAUCUAAGGAGAAGAUUUUGGCAACCAAGUUAUACAUCACAGUUGUUUCUGGAACAAGUUAGAUGCUAUUCCAGAGACAGAUCCCUAAAAAAACAUAAUAUGUAUAAUAAAAGUUCACACAGAAACAAAGGUUUAAAUUAUUUAGAUGUUGCUUUCAGUGAGUCCCUGUGAAUUAGGUGGAACAGUCCCGUGUUCCAAUUUUUAGUAAUUUUUUUUUCUUUUUCUUUUUCUUUUUUUUUUUUUUUUUUGCAUUGUUACCCCACUGAAGACAAUGCAUUGACAAUCACCAAAGGUUGAUUGAAAGCUUGAACUUAAUUAUAUAAGAAUACAAUUUUUAAUCUGAUUAAGUUAAUGAGGGACUCUGACAUACCUAUGUAUUCGUUCCAUAUGAAGCUUCGGUAACAUUUAGCACUGAUUUACCUGGUGAUGUCACUUACCUGCAUGAGCUUUCCUUUAGAUUCACCUUCUAUUUAUUCUGCAGGACUCUACUACAGCAGAUCAAUUGCACAGUGCCAGCCUAAAGGCCUCUUUCCAUCUCCAGAGUGGUAUAAACCAUGAAGGAUAUUUAAGUCAAGUUGGCCCCAUUCACAGUAGUUCAACUUGCUUUACUCUGUGAGUCAGAUGGUGCUCCAAACAGGAGUGUAAACUAGUUGACAGAUACCGAAAAGGAAAAUGAAGUGUAUUCCAUAAACACUGUAUGACCUAACUUGCAAUGAAUUAUUCCAGUGUAACUAUACAGCCACUCAACAAGUGUCUGAAACACAGCAGCAACUUCUCUUUUUAUUACAUGUUUAUUUAUAGGUUUGUUAUAAAUAUGUAGGUUGUGGGGACAUCAGAUUGCUUUGUCAUAUCAUUGUGGAUUCAUUGGAAGACACUGAACGGAAGACCUUUGUAUGCGGACAGUUCGUUUUUUUUGUUUUGAUUGCUGUGUUAUUUUUGUUGUUGGUUUGUUGCUUGCUUGUUUGGCAUACUCUAAUUUCCUAAUUUUCUGCAAAGGUGAACUAGUGAAAAAAUAGAAAAAUACAGGAGCUAAGACAUCUCAUAUGUUCCUUUUUGCUAAAAAUAAACUACACAAAAGUGAAAUUCA
Long non-coding RNA from Coturnix japonica (Japanese quail), 3513 nucleotides. RefSeq lists it as uncharacterized. The record is from RefSeq and is a predicted model, not a curated record. NCBI's taxonomy places the organism in Eukaryota, Metazoa, Chordata, Aves, Galliformes, Phasianidae.